ACGUGGUUGAUGAGCCGUAGUGAGGAC
RNAcentral lists this small RNA (27 nucleotides) under Bombyx mori (domestic silkworm). RNAcentral's name for it is "ovarian small RNA-4454". The record is from RNAcentral. Lineage: Eukaryota; Metazoa; Arthropoda; Insecta; Lepidoptera; Bombycidae.